Molecule: ribosomal RNA, 497 nt
Filed under: uncultured bacterium
Lineage: Bacteria
Description: partial 16S ribosomal RNA
Rfam family: Bacterial small subunit ribosomal RNA
Source: RNAcentral
GACGAACGCUGGCGGCGUGCCUAAUACAUGCAAGUUGAGCGAUGAAGAUUGGUGCUUGCACCAAUUUGAAGAGCAGCGAACGGGUGAGUAACGCGUGGGGAAUCUGCCUUUAAGCGGGGGACAACAUUUGGAAACGAAUGCUAAUACCGCAUAACAACUUUAAACAUAAGUUUUAAGUUUGAAAGAUGCAAUUGCAUCACUCAAAGAUGAUCCCGCGUUGUAUUAGCUAGUUGGUGAGGUAAAGGCUCACCAAGGCGAUGAUACAUAGCCGACCUGAGAGGGUGAUCGGCCACAUUGGGACUGAGACACGGCCCAAACCCCUACGGGAGGCAGCAGUAGGGAAUCUUCGGCAAUGGACGAAAGUCUGACCGAGCAACGCCGCGGGAGGGAAGAAGGUUGUCGGAUCGUAAAACUCUGUUGGUAGAGAAGAACGUUGGUGAGAGUGGAAAGCUCAUCAAGUGACGGUAACUACCCAGAAAGGGACGGCUAACUACGUG